UUAUCGUCUUCGUGUUUGAUGAUUUAAGAUGUUGAUGUGUAAAGUAAAGUAAAGAAAAGAAUGUAAUGUUCAUUUUGAGGUAAAUGUGAUGUAAAAGAAAUGAUGAAAGAAUGUAAAGAUUUUGGAAGAGUGCAAUGUAGAUGAUCUAAAAUGAAUCAUGUUACUUGUGUAUGUUUAGUUUUCCUUUCUUUCACUAAUGGCUAUUGCUUACCUUCGUGUAAGCCGUUUGUGCAUGUUUCCGCUAGUGCAUUUCAAUUCUCUUGAAAUUGUACACGUGAUGAGCCUUGGGCGGAUAGGGGAAACUCUGUCCGUUCGGCGUCUGUUCGACGUGCUCGGGCCGGCCCAAA
RNAcentral lists this long non-coding RNA (347 nucleotides) under Ananas comosus (pineapple). Its description in RNAcentral is "long non-coding RNA (ACOM_LNC040736)". The record is from RNAcentral. Lineage: Eukaryota; Viridiplantae; Streptophyta; Magnoliopsida; Poales; Bromeliaceae.